UUGUGGUGCGUAUUGUGGAGGAUAGCCCUGGGGCGGAUAGCCUUGUUGUGGGUAACCUUGCUGCGGCGGGUAGCCCGCCGGCGGAUAGGCAUCCUUCGGGUAUCCUUCCGGUGGAUAACCUAAAGAUUCAUAACAAGAAAACCCAAAAUCACAUUAGAUCAAUAAAGUCAACUAACAAAAAAAAAUAAAAAAUUGAAUGAAAUUCUUGCGACUUGCCUUGAGGAGGAGGAACUCCAACAGGGGGUUGAUUCUGAUUGUAGUAACUCAUGAUUUCCUAGUAUUGAAUUUGUGUUGCGAAGACAGUUUAGAUUUCUGGAUUUUG
This 322-nucleotide long non-coding RNA is filed under the name Olea europaea (common olive). RNAcentral describes it as "long non-coding RNA (OEUR_LNC006114)". Lineage: Eukaryota; Viridiplantae; Streptophyta; Magnoliopsida; Lamiales; Oleaceae. The record is from RNAcentral.